GCCAGUGUGGCACAGUGGUUUGAGUGUUGGGCUAUGACUCUGGAGACCAGGGUUCGAUUCCCGACACAGCCA
RNAcentral lists this transfer RNA (72 nucleotides) under Phrynosoma platyrhinos (Desert horned lizard). RNAcentral describes it as "tRNA-OTHER". Lineage: Eukaryota; Metazoa; Chordata; Lepidosauria; Squamata; Phrynosomatidae. The record is from RNAcentral.